CAGAGGGGGCGAGCGUUAUUCGGAAUUAUUGGGCGUAAAGGGCGCGUAGGCGGCUUGGCAAGUGGAAGGUGAAAUCCCUCGGCUUAACCGAGGAACUGCCCUCCAAACUGCUUUGCUUGAGGCCGGGAGAGGUGAGUGGAAUUCCCAGUGUAGCGGUGAAAUGCGUAGAUAUUGGGAGGAACACCAGUGGCGAAGGCGGCUCACUGGACCGGUUCUGACGCUGAUGCGCGAAAGCGUGGGGAGCAAACGGGAUUAGAUACCCCGGUAGUCCACGCCGUAAACGAUGAGUGCUUGGUGUAGCGGGUAUCGACCCCUGCUGUGCCGAAGUCAACACAUUAAGCACUCCGCCUGGGGAGUACGGUCGCAAGGCUG
RNAcentral lists this ribosomal RNA (372 nucleotides) under uncultured organism. RNAcentral describes it as "bacterial SSU rRNA". It matches the Rfam family "Bacterial small subunit ribosomal RNA", at positions 526 to 896 of the family's 1533-position model. The record is from RNAcentral.